RNAcentral lists this ribosomal RNA (193 nucleotides) under uncultured bacterium. Its description in RNAcentral is "partial 16S ribosomal RNA". It matches the Rfam family "Bacterial small subunit ribosomal RNA", at positions 338 to 524 of the family's 1533-position model. The record is from RNAcentral.
CCUACGGGAGGCAGCAGUGGGGAAUAUUGGACAAUGGGCGAAAGCCUGAUCCAGCCAUGCCGCGUGUGUGAAGAAGGUCUUCGGAUUGUAAAGCACUUUAAGUUGGGAGGAAGGGCAGUUACCUAAUACGUAAUUGUUUUGACGUUACCGACAGAAUAAGCACCGGCUAACUCUGUGCCAGCAGCCGGGUAAU